This 2001-nucleotide long non-coding RNA is filed under the name Homo sapiens (human). RNAcentral's name for it is "HSALNT0294901". Lineage: Eukaryota; Metazoa; Chordata; Mammalia; Primates; Hominidae. The record is from RNAcentral.
GAAUCCUAUGACUAAACUUCUAUUCAGUCACAUGGUCUGAGAACAUGAAUUCAAGGAAGAGAAAUGUUUCAAAGCAUUUCCAUUUUUUUUCCUUCCCAUGUCAAAAUAUUGUGAAGUGUUGAGAAGCUUGAAAGAGAGGCAUUUUUUAAAUUUGGUGCACGUCUGACAGGUGGGCAAGGGGUCAGCUCCUAUUCUAUGCUCUGGAUUUCCUCCCACAUCUCCAGGGCAGGUAGGACCUUUCCUGAGGCACAGGGGAGACUGGAAUCUCCACAUAUAAUUAGGGAGCCCUCCCAUGUCCUGCCAGAGCCCUGCCCUGGGCGGUGUACAGCUUGCGUGCACCACCUUCCUCCACAGAGCUAGGAGAGCCCUGCCCACUUAGAGACCACAGGUGUUUUCAUCUGCAAAAUAAGAACAAUGUCUCUAUCUCCAUUAGGAGUUUUGUGCAGACUAAAAGCAAUGGUCUAUAAAAAGAGUUUAGCACAGAACCUGGGAUAUAACAAACACCCAGUGAAUUUUAGCUAUUCUCAUUCCUUUUUGGUUUCUGUGCCUUGUCCCAAGUUCAAAGUUCAACACUUAGAAUGGGAGUUGUCAAGCAUAAGUGGCAAUCUUCCUGCUCAAAGUGCUGUUCUCGGACCAGCAGCACUGGGAGCUUGUUAGAAAUGCAGACUCUCAGGCCCCACCCCAGACCCAGUAAGUCAGAAUCUGCACUUUAACAAGAUCCCCAGGUGAUUCACAAGUAGCUUCAAGCCUGAGAAACCCUGGACUUGGCCGUGUGAGUGAAUGGGCUUUGAGAGGCCAUAAAUGCAGACGUGAAAGAAAAGAGUGAGGCUUGGUUAACCCCCAACAGUGAAUUGGCAGGAGGAAGAAAGAAUCCAGCAAGAGACAGGAAGAGGGUCCGAGAGUUGCUCCAGCUCACGCCAGCAGCUGCCUUCACAGCAGCCCCCAGAGGCCAGGCCCUGCUUUGAGGGAGUGGCCCUUUCUUUCUGCAACUGGAGAGUUUCCUUCCCAGGCUUGUGAUUAAAACUUGGAAGAUCUGUGUUUUGUAUGGUAGGAGAGGCUGUUGUGUUUGUUACAGGCCAGGAUAGGGUGGUUUCAAGGUGAGACAUCAGGAAGAGGGAAGAACUUCGCAGCGGAGACCAGCAGCAGCUUUCUCAGCCAGCCUACCCUCCCUUCGGAUUCCACUCUGUGCGUGCUCUUCUCACUCAAAACUCAUUUAUUUCUUCAAUAAAGGAUUCCCUUACGCUCUACUAUAGCUGUGUUACUGCUGCCUUACAACGAAGGGUGCACGCCAUGGAUCUGCAGAUCAGCAUCACCUGGGAAUCUGCCAGCCCCUGCUAAGUCAGAAAAACUGCGAGUAAGGCUCAGCAACCUGCAGUCUCAUGAGCCCUCCAAUUGAUUCUGAUGCACAUUCAAGUUUGAGAAGCAACAGCCGUGCUGCUGAGGUGGUUGCCGGCCUGCUGCCUCCCACAGAGCCCGCAAGGCAGGAACGUGACACACCCAUCUCAGCAGCCUCACCAGCAUGGCAACCUGGCACUUAACAACAGGCAGAAGCCACCUGGGAUGGAAGAAGGAGAACCCCAGACUCCCCUGAAAGAAGGCAGAGGCCAGUCCUCUGAGGGAUGGGGCAGCCAUCCCUCAGAAUGUGAAAGGAGAGCCAGUGUUCACAUGCUCUGGACUCAUGGAAGUCAAAGAAAAGCCCUCUGCUAUCCCAAUCUGCCGGGUCAGCAAUAAGAAAUAGAAGAAAACCGAUUUGGCAACAUCCAGAGGGUAUUAAAUAUUCAUCCUGACUGCCCAUCAGUAAAAUCCCAGCAGAAUACACCCUCUGACAAGUCGGCUUUCCACCACUAGAGGCUGUCCUCAUGGAAGCUUGUUUAUGGCUUUGUCAAUUUUAAUGUACAAUAUUUAAUAGCCAAACCAAGAUAUUGUCAUAAACAUUUGGAAAAUGAGUGCUAACAUUUCCCUUACUGCUUCUGUAUUUAAGGAUAUGUAAUUGGAGGGUGU